This 418-nucleotide ribosomal RNA is filed under the name uncultured bacterium. RNAcentral's name for it is "bacterial SSU rRNA". It matches the Rfam family "Bacterial small subunit ribosomal RNA", at positions 28 to 429 of the family's 1533-position model. The record is from RNAcentral.
GACGAACGCUGGCGGCGUGCUUAACACAUGCAAGUCGAACGAGACGAUUGAAAGCUUGCUUUUGAAAGUCGAGUGGCAAACGGGUGAGUAACGCGUAGGCAACCUGCCUCUAGGAUGGGGACAACAGUCCGAAAGGACUGCUAAUACCGAAUGAUGUAUCAAUUCCGCAUGGAGUUGGUAUGAAAGAUGGCCUCUACUUGUAAGCUAUCACCUAGAGAUGGGCCUGCGUCUGAUUAGCUAGUGUGGGGCAACGGCCUACCAAGGCGACGAUCAGUAGCCGGUCUGAGAGGAUGAACGGCCACAUUGGAACUGAGACACGGUCCAGACUCCUACGGGAGGCAGCAGUGGGGAAUCUUCCGCAAUGGGCGAAAGCCUGACGGAGCAACGCCGCGUGAGUGAAGAAGGCCUCGGUCGUAAG